Long non-coding RNA from Etheostoma spectabile (orangethroat darter), 733 nucleotides. RefSeq lists it as uncharacterized. The record is from RefSeq and is a predicted model, not a curated record. Lineage: Eukaryota; Metazoa; Chordata; Actinopteri; Perciformes; Percidae. The transcript has 4 exons.
UGUUUGUCUGUAUAGAUACAAUAUCUGGAACCAGCGACAAACAACUGCUCAAACACUGCUCUUUCAUUUUUCCUGAAGGCAGUGGAAAACUAUGGCUGGCCUUCAAGGGUCUGGGGAGAUGAAGGUGCUGAAAAUGUCGCAAUUGCUGAAACCAUGUUCAGUGUUAAAGGCACUGGAAGAGGAAGCUUCAUCGCUGGCCGAGGUGUACACAACCAAAGGAUUGAGCGGCUAUGGCGAGAUGUCUGGACCAGUGUCACUCAUCUGUACUAUGAAGUUCUUCACAAUCUAGAAGAAGAUGGCCUGUUGGAUUUGUCAGAGGCUGUAUCUGUUUUGUGCCCACUAUGCAUUCCUCCCGCGUCUGGCAGAGGCCCUUCACAUCUUCACAGUGGGCGGGGACAACCAUCCCAUACGAUCUGAAGGUGGACUCUCCCCUAACCAACUCUGGGUUAUGGGUCACAUGCUGAACCCUUGUGACCCAGAUGAAGAUUUGCAGAACAUGGAGCUGUUUGGAACUGACUGGGAGAUGUUUGAUGGUGUGCCUGAAGAACCUUAUGGAGUUGAAGUCCCACAAAUUGAGUGUCCAAUGACUCCAGCUAUUAUGGAAACUGUACAGUCCAUGAUCAAUCCUUCAGCAUCGUCAGAAUCAUUUGGCAGAGACAUUUACAUAGCAAUGGUUCAGUGCAUUGAAAGUCUGAAAAAAAGAAAUGUCUAAGAUAUAAUCAGUCGUUGCAAA